Molecule: long non-coding RNA, 802 nt
Organism: Lolium rigidum
Lineage: Eukaryota; Viridiplantae; Streptophyta; Magnoliopsida; Poales; Poaceae
Exons: 4
Source: RefSeq, a predicted model, not a curated record
CAGGGGCAAUGAGAGGCCCUCGACCGGCUGGAGAUGCACCAGUCUCGGCCGGCCAUGUCGACAAAGCAACACCACCAGCACAUCGGCAGAGGAUGAAGACGGCUGGAUCUCCUUCACGGCGUCCGCGUCGAGCUUGCUGGCCACGAAAAUGAAGAGGAGGUCCCCCAACUCCUGUCCCGGCACAUCCAAGGACAGGCCGCGCGCCGGAGCUGCUGCAGCUGGGCGUCUGGACAGCGACAAGGGCGCGCAAGGUGACGCCGUCCUGGACAUGGCCGACCUGGAGGAGGAGCUGUCCCAGAUCGAUCCAUACACCACGAUGCCCGCCCACACACCUAAAGGUCAUCAUCUUCGAGUUCCUCGAGGUCUGAAGAGGAGCUGGCUUGCUGGAAGGAGGAUGUGCCCCAGUUCGAUCUGAAUUCAGAAACAAUUCAUCACCAACCAGCCCUAGGCAGAGGCAAACCAUUCGACCCCUUGUGUCGUCCGUUUCGGCUCCGUCCGUGCCGUUGUAGUGGAUGUCGGUCAAUGGCACCUUUGGAGAAGGCUCUGGAAAGCUUUUGUGGCCAGUUGCACCAUAUGUCUGAUGAGUUCUGCAGCGGCGCAUGUGGCAUCCUUGCUAUUUACUUUGGCUUGAGAAGCAAAAUAGGCGUCAGUUUUGUUUCAUGAAUUGUGGUCUGGAUGUGCAAGUAAAGCAGGUCAUGGUAACACUUCUCAGUUGUUGAAGAGGACAUCCAGGUUAGCAGAGAAGCUGGCAGACCUGUAGCAGCAGAAGCCUGGUGCACCAUUUUCACCUGUUGGAAGCUGG